CAGCAGCCGCGGUAAAACGGAGGAUCCAAGCGUUAUCCGGAUUUAUUGGGUUUAAAGGGUGCGUAGGUGGCCUGUUAAGUCAGGGGUGAAAGACGGUAGCUCAACUAUCGCAGUGCCCUUGAUACUGAUGGGCUUGAAUGAACUAGAGGUAGGCGGAAUGUGACAAGUAGCGGUGAAAUGCAUAGAUAUGUCACAGAACACCAAUUGCGAAGGCAGCUUACUAUGGUUUGAUUGACACUGAGGCACGAAAGCGUGGGGAUCAAACAGGAUUAGAUACCCGUGUAGUCCCCUGUCUCUUAUA
This 301-nucleotide ribosomal RNA is filed under the name uncultured bacterium. RNAcentral's name for it is "partial 16S ribosomal RNA". It matches the Rfam family "Bacterial small subunit ribosomal RNA", at positions 509 to 808 of the family's 1533-position model. The record is from RNAcentral.